This 450-nucleotide ribosomal RNA is filed under the name uncultured bacterium. RNAcentral's name for it is "partial 16S ribosomal RNA". It matches the Rfam family "Bacterial small subunit ribosomal RNA", at positions 338 to 795 of the family's 1533-position model. The record is from RNAcentral.
CCUACGGGCGGCUGCAGUAGGGAAUCUUGGACAAUGGGCGCAAGCCUGAUCCAGCCAUGCCGCGUGAGUGAUGAAGGUCUUCGGACUGUAAAACUCUUUUCUGAGGGAAGAACUGACGGUUGAGGAAAUGCUUCCGUUUUGACGGUACCUCAGGAAUAAGCAACGGCUAACUCCGUGCCAGCAGCCGCGGUAAUACGGAGGGUGCAAGCGUUGUUCGGAAUGACUGGGCGUGAAGGGAGCGCAGGCGGUUGAAAGCCCGGGGCUCAACCCCGGCGGGUCUUUGGAUACUGUCGAACUUGAGUACGGAAGAGGAGAGUGGAAUUCCAGGUGUAGCGGUGAAAUGCGUAGAUAUCUGGAGGAACACCGGUGGCGAAAGCGGCUCUCUGGUCCGAUACUGACGCUCAUGCUCGAAAGCGUGGGGAGCAAACGGGAUUAGAUACCCCGGUAGUC